RNAcentral lists this ribosomal RNA (430 nucleotides) under uncultured bacterium. RNAcentral's name for it is "bacterial SSU rRNA". It matches the Rfam family "Bacterial small subunit ribosomal RNA", at positions 340 to 786 of the family's 1533-position model. The record is from RNAcentral.
UACGGAAGGCAGCAGGGGGAAUCUUGCGCAAUGGGCGAAAGCCUGACGCAGCCAUGCCGCGUGAAUGAUGAAGGUCUUAGGAUUGUAAAAUUCUUUCACCGGGGACGAUAAUGACGGUACCCGGAGAAGAAGCCCCGGCUAACUUCGUGCCAGCAGCCGCGGUAAUACGAAGGGGCUAGCGUUGCUCGGAAUUACUGGGCGUAAAGGGCGCGUAGGCGGAUCGUUAAGUCAGAGGUGAAAUCCCAGGGCUCAACCCCUGGAACUGCCUUUUGAUACUGGCGAUCUUGAGUAUGAGAGAGGUAUGUGGAACUCCGAGUGUAGAGGUGAAAUUCGUAGAUAUUCAGAAGAACACCAGUGGCGAAGGCGACAUACUGGCUCAUUACUGACGCUGAGGCGCGAAAGCGUGGGGAGCAAACAGGGAUUAGAUACC